Bactrocera oleae (olive fruit fly) is the source of this 668-nucleotide non-coding RNA. The record is from RefSeq and is a predicted model, not a curated record. NCBI's taxonomy places the organism in Eukaryota, Metazoa, Arthropoda, Insecta, Diptera, Tephritidae.
GAGACGCAGUAAAUUAUAUUUAUUUUUUUAUAAUGAAAAUCAUUGACGAAAUCUCAGAAAAAAGAAUUUGUGACAAAUAAAUACAAAUAUAAGAAUUAUUUCCAUUUUAUUUCCCAUCCCACACAACUAAACCCUGUAAGAAUUAUAUGGAUACUUACAAACAUAAGCUUUUAUGUAUUUAUGCCAACGAAAAGUGCAAAUUUUCAUUACUGAACGUGUCAGUGGGGUGCGAAGGGAAAUGUGCUAGAAUCAGCAAUAAUGGCCCUUAAUGAAUCACAGCGUAACAACAAUGAAUUGUGUAAAUAUAAUGAGAGGCGAUGAAAUUUUUGCGAGUAUGAACAACGAACAAACAGUGAAAACAAAACACCAUAAGUAUGAUAAACAGGCAAAUCAAAAAUACAAACAAAUAUGAGAGAGGUUUUAGUUGUUUGUUUCGUGUAAAGUGGGUGAAAAAUCGAUCGGUUGGGAAAUGGAGGGGGAAAGUAGGAAACGCAGCGCCAGGAAACAGCAGGGUAUACUAUGCAAACCCACUAAUAUUACAGGUAAAGUCUAAAGCGUCAAUUAGCCGAAGUACAGCUAGGUUGAACCAAAGCGAGAAAAUGAUCAAAAACUCAAAAAAGCCGACAGAAACGAAAACAAAAGAUCAACAUCAACAAAAGGCAAUAAAG